ACUAUCUCUUUUUCCUGAUAAUGUUUUGAAUUUUAUGAUUAGAGUUAUUCUCUAAUUGGUUAGUAUUAUCACAUCUCCUGUUCUCAGCUAUCAUCGGCUUAGUACAUUGUUCUCUAUUGUGAGUUCACAUAAUUCACGCAUAGUGAUCACGUAUUUCUCUUAUAAAAAACACAGUCCUGAUUUCAGUAUUUUUAAUCCACCCUGAGAGUCUCUAUCUUUAAUAGUUGAGUCUACUAGUACAUUCUGGUGGGUGUCUCCCCAUAUCCAUUAUGCCCUUCAUCCUAUCCAACAAUACCCCAAAGAUGUCAUGCCUGUGGUUUGGGUGGGGUUGACCCUACCUCUACCUGUAAAGAUGGAGUCAGAGAGGUUUAUGUGAUUGAUUCAGAGAUGGCUCAAAAUAAAAAAGAGGACUGCCCCUGCUGUGCAGUAGACCCCAGCUCACUCCUCAUGUCUAGCUGAAACACUGUGCCCUGGACCAGCCUCACUCCUGUCCAAGUUCCCCGCAUCCCUCAGACUCUGAUACUGCAAUUGUUACACAUUGAAGGUUUGUGGCCACCCUGCCACCAGGAAGUCAACUUGUGACAUUUUUCCAACAGCAUGUGCUUAUUUCAUGUCUCUGUGUUAAAUUUUGGAAAUUAUCACAGUCAUCCCAAACUUCAGCAGCCACCACGAUGAUGAGUGGUGAUGAGCCGUUGAUGGCUACAUCAACAUCGAAGCAAGACUCUCCACCAAUAAAAAGAUUACG
Non-coding RNA from Microcebus murinus (gray mouse lemur), 745 nucleotides. Lineage: Eukaryota; Metazoa; Chordata; Mammalia; Primates; Cheirogaleidae. The record is from RefSeq and is a predicted model, not a curated record.